Molecule: non-coding RNA, 65 nt
Organism: Dipodomys ordii (Ord's kangaroo rat)
Lineage: Eukaryota; Metazoa; Chordata; Mammalia; Rodentia; Heteromyidae
Source: Rfam
GGUGGCUCAGUGGUAGAGUGCUUGCCUUGCAUGCAUAAGGCCCUGGGUUCGAUUCCUCAGCACCA